This 988-nucleotide ribosomal RNA is filed under the name Bacillus sp. (in: firmicutes). RNAcentral describes it as "bacterial SSU rRNA". It matches the Rfam family "Bacterial small subunit ribosomal RNA", at positions 56 to 1026 of the family's 1533-position model. The record is from RNAcentral. Lineage: Bacteria; Bacillati; Bacillota; Bacilli; Caryophanales; Bacillaceae.
UGCAGUCGAGCGAAUCGAUGGGAGCUUGCUCCCUGAGAUUAGCGGCGGACGGGUGAGUAACACGUGGGCAACCUGCCUAUAAAACUGGGAUAACUUCGGGAAACCGGAGCUAAUACCGGAUACGUUCUUUUCUCGCAUGAGAGAAGAUGGAAAGACGGUUUACGCUGUCACUUAUAGAUGGGCCCGCGGCGCAUUAGCUAGUUGGUGAGGUAAUGGCUCACCAAGGCGACAAUGCGUAGCCAACCUGAGAGGGUGAUCGGCCACACUGGGACUGAGACACGGCCCAAACUCCUACGGGAGGCAGCAGUAGGGAAUCUUCCGCAAUGGACGAAAGUCUGACGGAGCAACGCCCCGUGAACGAAGAAGGCCUUCGGGUCGUAAAGUUCUGUUGUUAGGGAAGAACAAGUACCAGAGUAACUGCUGGUACCUUGACGGUACCUAACCAGAAAGCCACGGCUAACUACGUGCCAGCAGCCGCGGUAAUACGUAGGUGGCAAGCGUUGUCCGGAAUUAUUGGGCGUAAAGCGCGCGCAGGUGGUUCCUUAAGUCUGAUGUGAAAGCCCACGGCUCACCCGUGGAGGGUCAUUGGAAACUGGGGAACUUGAGUGCAGAAAAGGAAAGUGGAAUUCCAAGUGUAGCGGUGAAAUGCGUAAAGAUUUGGAGGAACACCAGUGGCGAAGGCGACUUUCUGGUCUGUAACUGACACUGAGGCGCGAAAGCGUGGGGAGCAAACAGGAUUAGAUACCCUGGUAGUCCACGCCGUAAACGAUGAGUGCUAAGUGUUAGAGGGUUUCCGCCCUUUAGUGCUGCAGCUAACGCAUUAAGCACUCCGCCUGGGGAGUACGGCCGCAAGGCUGAAACUCAUAGGAAUUGACGGGGGCCCGCACAAGCGGUGGAGCAUGUGGUUUAAUUCGAAGCAACGCGAAGAACCUUACCAGGUCUUGACAUCCUCUGACAACCCUAGAGAUAGGGCUUUCCCCUUCGGGGG